AUGGGGACAUCUCCCAGGGCUGACAGGGCACCCAGGCUGGUCGUGCCUCACAGGGCUGCGCCUGCCCAGGCGGGUUUCUGUAAGGGCGCAUGUAAGCCUGUUGCUGCUGGAUUUACAAACGCUGAGACUGGAGCUGGUAAAAGUAAGAAGCAACAGGGCCAGAUGGGCCUGAUGGCCGCCGGCCGGGUGGCGAGGAGGAUGAUGUGGACAGGAUGUGAGGGUCGCAGACACCGGGUUCUGGGUGGCCGACCAUCUUGGAGGACCAGAGGUGGGAGGAAUGGACAAGCCCAGAAGGGGACACCUUGGAUGAUCGAGGCAUGGGUCACGUGUCUGAGGCGGGCAGAGGGGCGGUGACAAGAGCAGGGAGCGCCGGUGCAGCUUUGAGUGAUGGACAUUGACCCAAACGUGGGGCUCCUGGCGGUUGGUCAGCAUAUGUGUCUGCUGCUGCUGCUGCUGCUGCUGGUCAGCGCGAUGUGCAGAGGUUCAUUUCACACUCCUCCCAGCACCAGGAGGUCAGUUCUCUUGCUGGUCCCAGUUUGUAGACGAGAACGCUGAGGCUCAAAAGACCACGUGGUGUGCCCAGACUCACAGCUCUCACGAUGGGUCUAGGCUGGAACUCGGAGCCUGGGGUCAAGGGCUGCAGUGCCUUGUCACAUUUCAGGGGUCCUACUGCCCAGCCUGGGGGCCCAACUGGAGGUGAUGAAAUAGUUCAGAUCUUGAGGGAGGUACCGGCUAAGCAGAGUCCAUGGAAGGCAAAGGUCAUCAGUGAUUAGAAGAUCCUGGGGACUUCCUGGAGGAAGUGAGAGGAACUAACUUAAGGCAUUAAAGGAAGUUGGUUAAGGAUGGAAGCAAAGCAAGUGCUGCAUCUCCUCCAUCCUCUCCAACUGUGUUAUUCAGAACUUUCCUGCAACUGACAGGACUCAAUCCAAACUGGUUCAGCAUGCAAGGGAAUUUACUGGUUUGAGUAAUUGAAAAUCCCAAAGAAGUUGGGCUUCAGGCCGGCUGGAUCUAGGUGCUCAGUGAUAUCCCCAGGAUCUCACUUCCUCGCUCAGUCUUCCUCCUGGGAAGGCAUCAUUCUCAUGUGGGUCCUCUCCACAAGGGUAGUAGGCUCAGUCUCUAGCAGCAGAAGGUUCUCAUCCUGUCCAUUGAAGAACCCCAGCCGAAAGAGCAUCUCACUGGCCUGCCUUGGGUCACAUGGCCGCCGCCCGGGUGGCGAGGAGGAUGAUGUGGACAGGAUGUGAGGGUCGCAGACACCGGGUUCUGGGUGGCCGACCAUCUUGGGGGUCCUGGGUGGGCCACCUGCCAAGAGGACCAGAGGUGGGAGGAAUGGACAAGCCCAGAAGGGGACACCUUGGAUGAUCGAGGCAUGGGUCACGUGUCUGAGGCGGGCAGAGGGGCGGUGACAAGAGCAGGGAGCGCCGGUGCAGCUUUGAGUGAUGGACAUUGACCCAAACGGGGCUCCUGGCCGGUUGGUCAGCAUGUGUCUGCUGCUGCUGCUGCUGCUGCUGGUCAGCGAUGUGCAGAGGGUUCAUUUCACUCCUCCCAGCACCAGGAGGUCAGUUCUCUUGCUGGUCCCAGUUUGUAGACGAGAACGCUGAGGCUCAAAAGACCACGUGGUGUGCCCAGACUCACAGCUCUCACGAUGGGUCUAGGCUGGAACUCGGAGCCUGGGGUCAAGGGCUGCAGUGCCCUUGUCACAUUUCCAGGGGUCCUACUGCCCAGCCUGGGGCCCAACUGGAGGUGAUGAAAUAGUUCAGAUCUUGAGGGAGGUACCGGCUAAGCAGAGUCCAUGGAAGGCAAAGGUCAUCAGUGAUUAGAAGAUCCUGGGGACUUCCUGGAGGAAGUGAGAGGAACUAACUUAAGGCAUUAAAGGAAGUUGGUUAAGGAUGGAAGCAAAGCAGAAGUGCUGCAUCUCCUCCAUCCUCUCCAACUGUGUUAUUCAGAACUUUCCUGCAACUGACAGGACUCAAUCCAAACUGGUUCAGCAUGCAAGGGAAUUUACUGGUUUGAGUAAUUGAAAAUCCCAAAGAAGUUGGGCUUCAGGCCCGGCUGGAUCUAGGUGCUCAGUGAUAUCCCCAGGAUCUCACUUCCUCGCUCAGUCUUCCUCCUGGGGAAGGCAUCAUUCUCAUGUGGGUCCUCUCCACAAGGGUAGUAGGCUCAGUCUCUAGCAGCAGAAGGUUCUCAUCCUGUCCAUUGAAGAACCCCAGCCGAAAGAGCAUCUCACUGGCCUGCCUUGGGUCACAUGUCCACCCCUGAGCCAAGGAUUGGCUAAGCUGAUGGAAAAUGCUGAUCGCCCAGGUUGGAUCACAUGCCCUCCCCAGACGCCUUGGGCGAGGUCAGCCCCUGGCCACAAGAGGCAGGCAUGGCAGGGCAGGCUCCCAAAGGAAGGUGGAGUUUGGUGUGGGAAGGAAGAAGAUGAAUCACUGGGUAGGCAGAUUCAGCAGAAUUUGAAAAUCAUUUUAGGCGUGGACCAGACCACGUGGGAUCAAGUGUCUCUGGGUUACAUAUCUACAGACUUAUUUGAGCAGCCAUUAUGUAGGGCCAAGCCUAGUUGCUGAAGCUUCAGUACUCUGGCUGCCUGAUGCAAAGAGUGGACUCAUUGGAAAAGACCUUGAUGGUGGGAAAGAUUGAGGGCAAGAGGAGAAGGGAAGACAGAAGGUGAGAUGGUUAGAUAGCAUCACUGACUCAAUGGACAUGAAUCAGAGCAAACUCUAGGAGAUAGUGGAGGACAGAGAAGCCUGGCUUGCUGCGGUCCACAGGGUCGUAAGAGUUAGACAGACAACUUAGCACCUGAACGACAGCAACAAGCCUGGAGGCCGGAGAAAACAGAGACGAAUCAGGUCUGGUCCUUCUUCCCAAAGAGCCUGGAGUUAGACUCUCCCAAGCCUUGUGCCCAAGCAGAGGGCAUCCAUCACACGCUGUGUUUCCUCCGCCAAUAUCUUCAGGGGUGGGGAGGAAGAAGUGAAAAUGAUCAGGAGGAAUCAGGGGCGGACAGACCUCCUGCUGUCGAGGCAGAGACAAGAGGGCAGCCCUUGGGGACUGUGUGUAUUGGGAGAGAGGAGCUGGGGCCAUACUAGCCACGCUGUGAGGGUGGGGUUGGGCACCUGUGCUUGGCAGGUGCCAAAUGUAAUAGCGAGUGUUCGGUCAGCUUGCACGCAUGGUAGCUUCAGUCGUGUCGACUCUUUGCGACACUAUGGACUGUAGCCCGCCAGGCCCCUCUGUCCAUGGAAUUCUCCAGGCAGGAAUACUGGAGCAGGUUGCCAGAUUUUCCCCACAUCUCCUGUGGCUCCUGCACUGCAGGUGGAUUCUUUACUGCUGAGUCGCCACAGAAACCUUUCGGUCAGCUUGGCUGUUGUAAAACUACAAUCGACAGGGCAGCUUACACAAUUGACAUCUGUUUUUGUGUUUCUCAUUUAUUUCUGGAGGUUGGGGAGGCCAAGAUCAAGGUGUCAGCCAAGGGGACUUGCUGGGGUCCAGUGGUUAAG
Long non-coding RNA from Bos grunniens (domestic yak), 3485 nucleotides. NCBI's taxonomy places the organism in Eukaryota, Metazoa, Chordata, Mammalia, Artiodactyla, Bovidae. The record is from Ensembl.